UGAGUAGGCGGUUGUAUAUGUCGGGUGUAAAAGGCUAUGGCUUAACCAUGGUUAGCACUUGAAACUGUACAACUUGAGUGCAGGAGAGGUAAGUGGAAUUCCUAGUGUAGCGGUGAAAUGCGUAGAUAUUAGGAGGAACACCAGUGGCGAAGGCGACUUACUGGACUGUAACUGACGCUGAGUCACGAAAGCGUGGGUAGCAAACA
Molecule: ribosomal RNA, 206 nt
Filed under: uncultured Eubacteriales bacterium
Lineage: Bacteria; Bacillati; Bacillota; Clostridia; Eubacteriales
Description: uncultured Clostridiales bacterium partial 16S ribosomal RNA
Rfam family: Bacterial small subunit ribosomal RNA
Source: RNAcentral